AGCUCCAAUAGCGUAUAUUAAAGUUGUUGCAGUUAAAAAGCUCGUAGUUGGAUUUCUGUUCAAGACGACCGGUCCGCCUUCUGGUGUGCACCAGGUUUGACUUGGACAUUUUCCUGAGUUUCUGCGAGGCGAUUCAGUUCGUCGCGUGGGGCGCAGGACUUUUACUUUGAGAAAAUUAGAGUGUUUCAAGCAGGCGUUUGCCCUUGAAUACUGCAGCAUGGAAUAAUACCAUAGGACUUCGGUUCUAUUGUUGGUUUCUAGUGCCGAAGUAAUGAUUAAUAGGGACAGUUGGGGGCACUCGUAUUUAACUGUCAGAGGUGAAAUUCUUGGAUUUGUUAAAGACGAACUACUGCGAAAGCAUUUGCCAAGGAUGUUUUCAUUA
RNAcentral lists this ribosomal RNA (382 nucleotides) under Voromonas sp. RNAcentral describes it as "partial small subunit ribosomal RNA". It matches the Rfam family "Eukaryotic small subunit ribosomal RNA", at positions 587 to 975 of the family's 1831-position model. Lineage: Eukaryota; Colpodellaceae. The record is from RNAcentral.